CUUUUAAACAUUGUCAUUGUGUUAGUAGUUUAAAUAGAGAUUUAAAUCUUAUUUUUAUUAGAAAAGUUAUCACAGUGGCAUAUUGUUAUCAUGAUGAUGCUAUUUAUAACAAAUUCAAAGUGAAUACAAAGGCAACAGUAGUAUACGUGUGUUCUCAAGUCAUAAAUCAAUUGAGAGAAAACAAAUCCGGGUUACAAACUAAAACGGAAUGAAACUCAUCAACUAUAAGAGGAAAACAAAGGAACUCAUUGUAAUAGAAACCUAUUCUUUAACUUUAUAAUUGUAUUAUGAAAUAUAUGUAACAUGUGAUAUUUGAAAUAGCAGCUAGCCAGAUCUAAAUGUUUAUCAAGUUGAAUAAAUUUUAUUUAGACCUUCAACUCAAGUUCAUUUCACAAGCAUUUUAAACUAAUUUAUAAAGGCAACAGUAGCAUACCGCUGUUCAAAAUUCAUUACUCGAUCAAAAGAAAUCAAAUCCAUGUUACAAACAAAAACCUAGGAAAACCCAUCAAGUAUAAGAG
RNAcentral lists this long non-coding RNA (518 nucleotides) under Mytilus galloprovincialis (Mediterranean mussel). The record is from RNAcentral. Lineage: Eukaryota; Metazoa; Mollusca; Bivalvia; Mytilida; Mytilidae.